GUUUCCAACUGAAAAGAAACUUUGUGUUCCCAACAAGUUAGGUGAAGUACAGAUUUCACACUCACAUAUCGUUCAGAACUGAGCAUGUGGAGAGAUGUUCAUUCAUCUACCACAAGUGGAAUGGGUUGCAGGAGAAACACUUUCUCUUGUUUCUUAAUCUGUGUCCUAGUGCUGGUUAAAAAUUCCUGCAGUUUUAGUGUAAAACCGAGUCAGAGCUAGUACCUCCAGAUAUAUAUGUAUGCAGUGUAGUUUCCAACAGAAAAUAACUCUGUUAUCCCAACAAGCUAGGUGAAGGAAGGCUUUCACACACACUUAUCUCUAUGACAAGAACAUGUGGAGAGACUUACGUUCAUCUGGCACAAAGGGGACUGGUUGAAGGAGAAUCUUUUACUCUGGAUUCUCAGUCUGUUUCUUCUGGCCAGUUUGAAGUUCCUGCAGUUUUCACAGUAAAUCUAAGUUGGGGCCAAUUCAUCACCAUAUAUAUGCAAGUAUUGGGGUUUGAAACUGGAAAGGAACUUUCUGUUCCCAACAAACUAGGAGAAGGAUGGCUUUCUCACACAAUUAAUUCAGAGAACUGAGCAAGUAGAGGCACUUUCGUUCAUCUAGCACAAAAGAAACGUGUUGCAGGAGAAACACUUACUCUGCUUUCUCAGGCUGUUUCCUAGUGCUGGUUUGAAGUUCCUGCAGUUUUCACCAUAAAACGGAUUUGGAGCCAGUACCUCCCCAUUUAUAUGUAUGGAGUGGAGUUUGAACCUGGAAAGGAACUUUGUGCUCCCAACAGGCUAGUUGAAGGACGGCUUUCACACA
Non-coding RNA from Vicugna pacos (alpaca), 807 nucleotides. The record is from RefSeq and is a predicted model, not a curated record. NCBI's taxonomy places the organism in Eukaryota, Metazoa, Chordata, Mammalia, Artiodactyla, Camelidae.